GACGAACGCUGGCGGCGUGCUUAACACAUGCAAGUCGAACGCUGAAGCCCGGUGCUUGCACUGGGUGGAUGAGUGGCGAACGGGUGAGUAACACGUGAGCAACCUGCCCAUCACUCUGGGAUAAGCGCUGGAAACGGCGUCUAAUACUGGAUACGAGCAACCCAGGCAUCUGGAGUUGUUGGAAAGAUUUAUCGGUGGUGGAUGGGCUCGCGGCCUAUCAGCUGGUUGGUGGGGUAAUGGCCUACCAAGGCGACGACGGGUAGCCGGCCUGAGAGGGUGACCGGCCACACUGGGACUGAGACACGGCCCAGACUCCUACGGAAGGCAGCAGUGGGGAAUAUUGCACAAUGGGCGCAAGCCUGAUGCAGCAACGCCGCGUGAGGGAUGACGGGCCUCGGUUGGUUAACCGUACUUUUACGUUAGGGUAAGGAAGGACGCAAGUAGACGGUACCGUCGCAGAAAAGACACCGGACGUAACUACGUAGCCACGCAGCCGCGGUAACGACG
RNAcentral lists this ribosomal RNA (507 nucleotides) under uncultured bacterium. Its description in RNAcentral is "bacterial SSU rRNA". It matches the Rfam family "Bacterial small subunit ribosomal RNA", at positions 28 to 527 of the family's 1533-position model. The record is from RNAcentral.